This is a long non-coding RNA of Mercenaria mercenaria, 1096 nucleotides long. RefSeq lists it as uncharacterized. The record is from RefSeq and is a predicted model, not a curated record. NCBI's taxonomy places the organism in Eukaryota, Metazoa, Mollusca, Bivalvia, Venerida, Veneridae. The transcript is spliced from 3 exons.
GUGUCACCCCGGUAUAGAAGUACUUCCGGGUCGUUGUAUCCUAGAAAGUAGUUCUUUGAAAUUUUGAAGUUCCCAAUUUAACGCUAUCCCUACUUUGACAUGUUAUAUUCCAAAUGUAUUUAUUGAUACUGUGUACAUUUUUUGUCAUUUCUGAUGUCUUUAACAGUUGUUUUAUGUGUGUUUUUCAGGAUUACAUUUCUGUGCGGAAGGAUUAAAAAACUACACCAGACUGGUGGCCAUGACAGAUGUCAGUGGGAAAUUUAAACAUGGACUAGAUACUUUGAUGUGUAGCAAAAAAGUUCAUCGUUGAUGGUGGUGUUUUUCUGUGAUAUAUUGACUGUGAUAGUAUUACUCUUCAGAAAUACAGAGCUGUCAAUGCUGAAAUUUUGUUGUGAAAUUCACAAUCCAUGUCCAAAAGUGCUUGUUUUACUAUACAGCAAAGAAGGAGAAAUUAUACCGGGCCGACACCUAUAUGGCAAAUUCAGAAAGUGGAAUAUCUCAGCAACAUAGGGUUUACAGUCAUGAAACUUCACACACUAGUAGCUGAUAACAAUACAAAUCAGUGGCUAAAAGGAUAUUUCCAAGGCGAUGAAUUCCAUAUGUCAGAAGGAAAUAUAGAAUCGUACAACCAGUCAGCAGCUACCCAUAAACCAGACCAACCUAUUAAGUCGAGCGGGCAGAAGCUGUGAUUCCCAGUGUAACACCGCAGAAUGACGGCUAGUUUUCGGAUUACAUUUCUGUGCGGAAGGAUUAAAAAACUACACCAGACUGGUGGCCAUGAUAGAUGUCAGUGGGAAAUUUAAACAUGGACUAGAUUCUUUGAUGAGUAGCAAAAAAGUUCAUCGUUGAUGGUGGUGUUUUUCUGUGAUAUAUUGACUGUGAUAGUAUUACUCUUCAGAAAUACAGAGCUGUCAAUGCUGCAAUUUUGUUGUGAAAUUCACAAUCCAUGUCCAAAAGUGCUUGUUUUACUAUACAGCAAAGAAGGAGAAAUUAUACCGGGCCGACACCUCAUGGUAACGACUUCGUUCUGGCCUCUUUUAUCAUGCUAAUAGAAUUCGGUAAACGCCACCCUUUUGUGAUAUCUGUCGUUUGUUUU